This 520-nucleotide ribosomal RNA is filed under the name uncultured bacterium. RNAcentral describes it as "bacterial SSU rRNA". It matches the Rfam family "Bacterial small subunit ribosomal RNA", at positions 202 to 701 of the family's 1533-position model. The record is from RNAcentral.
AAAGCGGGCCUCUAUAUAUAAGCUCGCGCUCCGGGACGGGUCCGCGUCCCAUCAGCUAGUUGGUGAGGUAACGGCUCACCAAGGCAACGACGGGUAGCUGGUCUGAGAGGAUGGCCAGCCACACUGGAACUGAGACACGGUCCAGACUCCUACGGGAGGCAGCAGUGGGGAAUCUUGCGCAAUGGGCGAAAGCCUGACGCAGCGACGCCGCGUGGGCGAAGAAGGCCUUCGGGUUGUAAAGCCCUGUGGGGGAGAACGAACCGUACGGGGGCGAACACCCUCCGUGCCUGACGGUACUCCUUUAGCAAGCAUCGGCUAACUCUGUGCCAGCAGCCGCGGUAAGACAGAGGAUGCAAACGUUGCUCGGAAUUACUGGGCGUAAAGCGCGUGUAGGCGGUCUGGUAAGUCGGACGUGAAAUCCCGGGGCUCAACCCCGGAAGUGCGCUCGAUACUGCCGGACUUGGGUUCUGAAGAGGAGAGCGGAAUUCCCGGUGUAGAGGUGAAAUUCGUAGAUAUCGGG